Molecule: long non-coding RNA, 256 nt
Organism: Zingiber officinale
Lineage: Eukaryota; Viridiplantae; Streptophyta; Magnoliopsida; Zingiberales; Zingiberaceae
Exons: 2
Source: RefSeq, a predicted model, not a curated record
GCUUGCUUUAGGCAGAAUAUUACAGUUGUUACUAUAUAUGCUUCACUGGGAGAGGAGGCUCUUUGCCACUCGUUAAAUGAGACAGAGGUCACAACAGUGAUUUGUGGAAAUAAGGAACUGAAAAAAUUGAUUGCUAUAAGCGGACAGCUUGACUCUCUAAAACGGGUCAUUUAUAUGGAUGAGGAUGCUAGUGAGGUUUCAUUGGCUAAGAAGAUUACCAGUUGGACCAUCACCUCAUUUAUUGAAGUAGAGACUA